This is a long non-coding RNA of Homo sapiens (human), 915 nucleotides long. Ensembl annotates it as SMIM10L2B antisense RNA 1. Its record names the gene SMIM10L2B-AS1. The record is from Ensembl. NCBI's taxonomy places the organism in Eukaryota, Metazoa, Chordata, Mammalia, Primates, Hominidae.
GCAUUUGCAGCUUUAUACUGUGGUGCUGGGGGAGAGAGGGCUGUGUGUUCCAGAAGGCUGAUACCAUGGAAGACAUCACCUUGGCUUCCUGGCUGUCUGGUUAGUGAUUUGAGCAAUGAGAGGCAGCAGCUAGAAAUGAAAGAGUAGAAGAAGAGAGUGUCUCCUGACACUGUGUGCAUGGUCUCCAGUCAGCCUCUGAUUCCUCCACUUUCCUCCUGAAUUUCUUCCUUGUGAGUGUCACUUCUGGAAACAAAAGUCAAGUUCUCUAGGUGAACACUGAGUAGCCCCAACCUUCCAGUGAAUUUGAAGUGUAGGAAGUUUUCCUCGUUUAAACUCGGCACAGCCUCCAAUCCCUGGGAAGCAUGCCUCUCUGGUCUCCAACCCACCCAGACUUCCAGUGUGAGUAGACACCUGUAGGGCCUGAUUGGUUCAGCACCAAGUGAAGUCAUAGUCACUAUGGUGACUCACAAUUGUCCUCAGAACCUAGUGCCAACAGUCUGCAAGAUUCAAACACUGGCCACCAUGCCUGGCUUCCUUCUGGUUCAAGCCUGAAUAAGGUCCCUCUUCUGUGCUGUCUUCCUGAAGCCAUCUGUGGAGUCAAGCAGUCAUGGCUCAGGGACACUCUGAAGUAGGUCCCAGCACAUCUGCGUGGAGCAUCAGGAGGAAGGUGGAUGAAUACUUAAGACCCAGCCUGGCCUCUAAAUCGGUGCUGAGCGUUUUACUCAGUAGACAGCUUGGGAAUCAUAGAAACGAUGUGGAUCUGACAGAGUGGCUGUGGACACUGAAGCAAGCCAUACCAGGGUGGACCUGGCCUUUGCCGACACGCCACACAAUCAACCCACCUCUGCCCCCUGGGGAGGAUAGAAAAUCCAAGAAAAUGGUGUGGAUCAAUAAAUCCUUCCCCUGAUGCAACCA